Non-coding RNA from Schistosoma mansoni, 46 nucleotides. NCBI's taxonomy places the organism in Eukaryota, Metazoa, Platyhelminthes, Trematoda, Strigeidida, Schistosomatidae. The record is from Rfam.
GCACUGCUGACGAGUCCCAUAAUAGAACGAAAAGGUUGUCCAGUGC